RNAcentral lists this ribosomal RNA (373 nucleotides) under uncultured organism. RNAcentral's name for it is "bacterial SSU rRNA". It matches the Rfam family "Bacterial small subunit ribosomal RNA", at positions 526 to 896 of the family's 1533-position model. The record is from RNAcentral.
CGUAGGUGGCAAGCGUUGUCCGGAUUUACUGGGCGUAAAGGGCGUGCAGGCGGUUUGUUAAGUCUAGGGUGAAAGCUCCCGGCUCAACUGGGAGAGGGUCCUUGGAUACUGGUGAACUUGAGGGAUGCAGAGGAAAGUGGAAUUCCCGGUGUAGUGGUGGUAUGCGUAGAUAUCGGGAGGAACACCAGUGGCGAAGGCGGCUUUCUGGGCAUUUCCUGACGCUGAGACGCGAAAGCGUGGGGAGCGAACCGGAUUAGAUACCCGGGUAGUCCACGCCGUAAACGAUGGACACUAGGUGUAGGGGGUAUCGACCCCCUCUGUGCCGUAGCUAACGCAAUAAGUGUCCCGCCUGGGGAGUACGGCCGCAAGGCUA